AGCAAUUCUAAAAGAAAGAUUUAUUUUAGAGAAAUCUAACUAAAUUUGAAAAGUUGUCAAAUUGAAAAAAAUAAAGAUUUAUUCUAGUUAAUUUCCUCUAAAACAGAUAUACCCCACUCAUUCUACACUUCAUGAGGUAUUGCAACAUGCACACAGCAAUUGGCAAGACAGGACGCAAUUCUAGAUGGGCCUGGCUUGAUGGCAUGCACAGUUUGCAAAUGGCAUUUGCCAGUUCUAUUGAAUUUCACUUUGGCUUAGAAUGCAAACAGACACGAGAGUCCAGAGAACAGCGAGGCGCAGAGCUGACUCCGUUGCUCUGACUUGGCUUGGUUUGGCUCGGCCUAGAGCCAUUUAGUUAGCUGGAAUUCAACGGGCAAAGCUGCAAGUAAUCUGAUUGCGCAAAGCCAUUUAAAGCUAUUAUUAAAAGAACUUGUGGCUCGGACAACACAGCACAGCACAACACAACACAACGCGACUCUUAACUUGGCUGGCACUUUUAAUUGGCUGUCUGCCUUGUUUCAAUGGGAGGGCGGCAACGUUGGGGAGUUGUCUGUGUGUUGAGAGAUCUUUUUUUUCUUUUGCUGUCGUUGUUGUUGCUGUUUUGUUGUCAUCAACAAACGGUUGUCUGCCAUCACCAUCGCCAUCGCCAUCAUCAGAUUUUGCAACAAACUUACUGCUGCUGCUGCCGUUUGUUGGCCAGUAAUUUACUAGUCAACAGCAGGCAGUUGGCAGUCAGCAGGAUGCCAGGCAAUAUUACGGCCAACAUUAGUUAGAAGCCUGCUACUUUGUCUGCUUAUGAAUGGACCUCAAGUGCAUACAAUUUGAUUGAUUGAUAUGAGCACUCGUUCAUGGUGCACAUUCAUUGCAGCACGUGUCUAUUAUGCCAAUGAGAGCCUUUAUUAGACGCCAUUAAACCCACUUUGAAACUGAA
Long non-coding RNA from Drosophila nasuta, 931 nucleotides. RefSeq lists it as uncharacterized. Lineage: Eukaryota; Metazoa; Arthropoda; Insecta; Diptera; Drosophilidae. The record is from RefSeq and is a predicted model, not a curated record. The transcript has 2 exons.